CGGCGGACGGGUGAGUAACACGUGGAUAACCUACCUAUAAGACUGGGAUAACUUCGGGAAACCGGAGCUAAUACCGGAUAAUAUAUUGAACCGCAUGGUUCAAUAGUGAAAGACGGUUUUGCUGUCACUUAUAGAUGGAUCCGCGCCGCAUUAGCUAGUUGGUAAGGUAACGGCUUACCAAGGCAACGGUGCGUAGCCGACCUGAGAGGGUGAUCGGCCACACUGGAACUGAGACACGGUCCAG
RNAcentral lists this ribosomal RNA (244 nucleotides) under uncultured Staphylococcus sp. RNAcentral's name for it is "partial 16S ribosomal RNA". It matches the Rfam family "Bacterial small subunit ribosomal RNA", at positions 96 to 334 of the family's 1533-position model. The record is from RNAcentral. Lineage: Bacteria; Bacillati; Bacillota; Bacilli; Caryophanales; Staphylococcaceae.